Molecule: long non-coding RNA, 4439 nt
Filed under: Pelobates cultripes (western spadefoot toad)
Lineage: Eukaryota; Metazoa; Chordata; Amphibia; Anura; Pelobatidae
Source: RNAcentral
UUUAGCAUUAGCAUUUUUUUAAUUUUCCUUUUUUGUUGCAUAGGAAAUGCAGAAUUUGCUUCCAGUAAUUGUAUUGUAAUGUGAGAGGUGGCAGCAUUAAUGGAUGAAUACAAGAUUUAUACUAAUCCACACCAGCUGAAAAAACCUGCAGAGAUUUAGUUGUAUAAGAAUAGAUGCCCAACAGUGAUUCUCAACCAAUUACAAAUUUUCACAGAACACAGUAAAAAAUAACAUAACUAUGAAAAUCAAUACAAGGUACUAGAGUCACAAUGAGCCUGAUUCAUAAAACAGAGACUUUAUUAACACAGGCACAAGGGAUCUUAAAAAACACCCAUUAUGGGGCAAUUAAUUACUUAAACACAAAAAUAAAGGUUUAUGUGGUCAAGUAGCAGCUUGGGUACUGCACUUUGUUCAGUGAAGAGCUUAGGGUUGUGAGAAAUAAAAUUAGAAUAGAAAGGGGGAAAAAAAAGUCAAUAAAACUAGUGAAAGAAUUAUGCGUUUUCCCACGAUUAGCCAAAAGCUUUCACCUAGUAAUUUACCCAUCUGUACUGAUUCAUCGAAUCCCAGAGCCCACCUUUAAUGGUGCCUAAGCUACUAGAACAAAAGAGGUGAAUGAAAGGUAUUCAAAAUGAGUUGCCCUAAUGUAAUAUUUAACAUAAUUUGCACUGUGCCUGUUAAUGGACUGCAAUGCACAUUAAAAAAAAAAAGUCAUUUAAAACAACGUAAUGCAUGAUAUGCCCGUAUUUAUGGAAAUACCAACAUUGAAAUUUUAUGUCCCUUUACAAGUUAACGUUUUGAUUCUCUGAAGGUGAUUGUGGGUCUGGCAUAUAAUGUUGAUCCACUCCUCGUUUAAAUAAAGAUAAAAAUGAUUAUAAAAAUACCCCAAAAAUAAAAAAGAAAAAUUCUCAAAGUUAGGUUUAAAGGCUUCAUAAAAGGUAUAUUCAAGACCCAAGGUUAAAAAAAAAGAAACGACAAAAAAAUAAUAAUAAUUCCUUAUGCCAUACACUGGUACAAUACAAAGUUUUCUAGAGAACUGUUGUUCUAUAGACAGACACCCAAACCUAUUCAAUUUGUAGUGCUGUUUUAUUUACAGGUUUUGCAUAGUCGGGUGUUAAGGUUUGGUGUAUGUGUAAAUUUGAAUCUACUGAACUGUACUUGUAGUGUGCACAAAUACACAUGGUCACAUAUUUCAUGAAUCAGGCCCAAGAUUGUAUACAAUUUAUUGAAAGGAAAAAAAUAAUAAUAUUUAUUUAUCAUGAAAUUGUGCAUAAAACUAACUAAAAACAGCCACAUUUUUGUAUAUUUUCUUUUUAGUAUGAGGAGGUCUGGUGUAAAGGGAGGGGUAAACAUUGGUUAUCUGUUUAUUUCAUUUUUGUGAUUUAUCCAGACUAAAAACAACUGCAGAACCCCUCAUAAGAAUGCACGAGUGUUAGGAUUUAAGUUCUCCUAUUAAAAACAUAAAAUUGAAACAAACAGAUAGUAAAUUCGAAAUGCUUACCGUCGGGGGAGGAGGACCCAAGAAAAGUUAAAAACAAAAAAAAGAAUAAAAAAACAAAACAAAAAAACAACAAUGUAUGUAAUACUGUGUAUACCUCUGAAAUACUGAAAACACCCCCUUCCAAAAACAAACCAAAUAAAUGGAAAAAAAGUAAAAAAUAAAAAAUUUGCAUUCUUGGCGACAUACCUUUAAACCUAUCUAACAAGAACCAAGUCAGGAAAAAAAAAUUCUAACGUAAUUUGAGUAAUAUUUUAUACAACUCGCUAAGCGAUAUGGAACAGCAUGCAAUAUUACUGUAUGGUUAUUUUACAUCCGUUACAUCAGAGGAAUCUGACAGACAGCAAAGGCUACUGGUGUAAAAAAAAUCUUAUUUCAGAAGAGCGAUAUAAUACAGAUUUCACAGGCACUACUGUUUUUUUUUUUCAAUUAUUAUAUAUCAGGUAUUAUGCUGGUUUUCAUAUAAUUCUUUCUGUCCUAAAGCUGGCAUUUAUAACACUGACCGAAAAAAGGCAAGGAUUGAAAGAAAUGAGAAUUAAAAAAAAAAAGUAGCCAUAGUACGUAGGUUUAUUUAUUUUUCCUUCGGAUAGAUUAGUGCAUAGUUCACAUGCAGAUAACCACUGCUAUGGAUUAUAUUGUUGGAAAGCAGAAUGAAUUGAGCCCAACUUAUUACAGAUGUGUCCAUCAAAUUGCCAGGCUGAAUUUAGCACCAUGUCUUGGCUUAGCAUCAAACAUUAAAUCAGUUUCAGAAUAGAUGACACACAGUUCAGGGUUACGGAUUAGCCUCAAUGUUACCUACUCUGCAGAAAAGCAAUUUUCCUCCCACCAAUUCAUUAAUAGGCGAAAAAAAAAUCAAAAAAAAAAUCAUAGAAAUGUGAAAUAUGCAUCUUACUGUUGUACACCCUUGGUACUACUAAGAAGCGUAAAUGCCAGGUUACUAAGGGUUUGCACUCAAAACAGACUUCAACAACAUCAAGAGGGCCGGCCAAUCUACGGCUAUCCAGUUUCCAGCGGCCUUUAAACAAUAUCACCCUUCGCCAUUAACUUGUUGAAGACGAUGGAAGUUGGACUAAAUUAGUAGGUUGGACACAGUUUCCUGCUAAGAAGUCCCAAUAGAGGAAUCUAUGCUAACAUCAAAAGACUUAAUCUCGCAAUGAUAACUCACGACGGCUUAAUUUCUAAUGAUGCUCAGCCAUCAUGUUUUUCAUAAACAUCAGAAAAAACAAAAUUAGCCAUCACCGUCCAUUAGUCUCAAGAUGUUUGGAUAGGUUUCAUUGAAGCUCUUCUUACACAGUAAGGCAAAUUGGGAUUUAUUUGUUUUGUUCUAAAAACUAUAAAAUAUAUAUUUUUUUUUUCCAGGGCAAAUUAGAAAAGUAUAAUAAUAAUUAAAAAAAAAACACAGCAAGGACACACAUGAUUAAAUCCAAGCUUUUGUUAAUUUUUACGUUUGUUGUAUAAAAACUACAAAUAAACUGCUUGGGAUCGAUAUUGACGUGGCCUGAAUAAAAAUACUGUGACUAGAGGAGUACUUUACUGUGUGUUGGGUUAAAACAUGUUUAUGCAAAUAUAUGUGUCUUCUCUCAUCAAUGUUGCCCAUUGUCUUUUUAAAAACAACAUAUAAUAACCAAAAUAACUUGUUGGGGUGUGCAGCUAUAUGUAUCUGGCUAAAUCCAACUUUAAUCACUGUUACUACAUUUAAAACAAAGUGCACUUUGGCCUCAUGUAGGAAUAGCCAUGGGUUAUGAAUGGGCCAGACUUGGGGUAAUUUGACAGUAGUCUUUACAUGAGAUCAAGUUUAGGAAUAGUUUGUCAGUGGCAAUCUAGCAAAGACUGGUAUAAGGAAAUGAUGUGCUGCAGGCCUUUAACUGGUCCAUAACAAAAGGGGCCAAGUUAAUUAUAGCUCUUUAAAUGGGUCCAGGAACAAAAACAGCAGGAUCUAGAGCUGGAACAAUCUAUUUGUCUUCAACUGGGCCUGGGAUCAAGAACAGUUUGCCAGCAGGUACUAGCUGGAUCUGUAAACAGGACCAAGUAAACAAUAGUAUCUUUAACUAAGCCUUUGAUCACAAACAGUUUGCCUGUAGGCCUUAGCUGGAAGUUAACUGAUACUCUCAGCCAAUGUGCUAACCCCUGCAUUGCAACUUUUGGCAAUGUGGACUCCACAGGAGAAGAUAACGAACGAUCCAUGGAAAAUGUAUGGAAUUUUAUCCUAAAUGAAAAUGUCUAAAUUGAUCCUAAGCUGCACACCCUGCAUAUUUGUGCAUUUGUCAUGUAAUUUAAAAGGAAGGUAUUUUUUUUGUUAAUUAAAAAAAAAAAAAAAUGCCCAUCUUAUUUUAAAUCUAACAACCUUUUCUAAUAUUUUAAUAGCUGUAGUAGCACCCAAGAAUAACCCCCUUCUCUACUAUUGUGGACAUUUUAUGAUACAUUUUAAAAAAAUGUUUGCAUAGGUCUCUUAUGUCCUUCUUCUGAUGGGUCCUCCCAAUCACUAAACUGCCUCUAUGGUUGCACCACAUAUGGAAGAAAUUAAUUGGCAUACAGGUGCAUAGUGCAUAAUUCAUCUGAUCUCUGAGUAAAGAGUUAUAAAAUACCACUGUGGGCAACUAGCUCCACCCAUGAGGAACAACCCAGCGUUUAUUUCUCUGUAUAACAGAGAACAGGAGAAGCAGGUAAGCAGGUACAUCAGCUAAACUACUGCAAUAGGAAAUACAAGAAAUUGUCCGUAGAACUAAUUAAUUGUGGACAUGUAGUUUAUAAAUAAAAGUACAUUACUCACUCUUUAACAUUGACAUGCUUAAUUAAUCUUCAUAACUAAAUCUUAGUGACCUGUGCAUUCUAGGCAUUUGAGAAACGUUCAACAAGCAGGUGUGAAGCCUUGUAACUCAAUAUUUUCGAUUGCCUAUAUGAUAAAAUAAAGACUUUAUAUAACGCAUUUUUAUGAUCUGCAAAU